AGAGUUUGAUCCUGGCUCAGGACGAACGCUGGCGGCGUGCUUAACACAUGCAAGUCGAACGAUGAAGCCUUCGGGUGGAUUAGUGGCGAACGGGUGAGUAACACGUGGGAAAUCUGCCCUGCACUCUGGGACAAGCCUUGGAAACGAGGUCUAAUACCGGAUAUGACCUUCCUCCGCAUGGGGGUUGGUGGAAAGCUCCGGCGGUGCAGGAUGAUCCCGCGGCCUAUCAGCUUGUUGGUGGGGUAAUGGCCUACCAAGGCGACGACGGGUAGCCGGCCUGAGAGGGCGACCGGCCACACUGGGACUGAGACACGGCCCAGACUCCUACGGGAGGCAGCAGUGGGGAAUAUUGCACAAUGGGCGAAAGCCUGAUGCAGCGACGCCGCGUGAGGGAUGACGGCCUUCGGGUUGUAAACCUCUUUCAGCAGGGAAGAAGCGCAAGUGACGGUACCUGCAGAAGAAGCACCGGCUAACUACGUGCCAGCAGCCGCGGUAAUACGUAGGGUGCGAGCGUUGUCCGGAAUUAUUGGGCGUAAAGAGCUCGUAGGCGGCCUGUCGCGUCGGAUGUGAAAGCCCGGGGCUUAACCCCGGGUCUGCAUUCGAUACGGGCAGGCUAGAGUGUGGUAGGGGAGAUCGGAAUUCCUGGUGUAGCGGUGAAAUGCGCAGAUAUCAGGAGGAACACCGGUGGCGAAGGCGGAUCUCUGGGCCAUUACUGACGCUGAGGAGCGAAAGCGUGGGGAGCGAACAGGAUUAGAUACCCUGGUAGUCCACGCCGUAAACGGUGGGAACUAGGUGUUGGCGACAUUCCACGUCGUCGGUGCCGCAGCUAACGCAUUAAGUUCCCCGCCUGGGGAGUACGGCCGCAAGGCUAAAACUCAAAGGAAUUGACGG
Molecule: ribosomal RNA, 891 nt
Filed under: Kitasatospora sp. E3BS23_pA
Lineage: Bacteria; Bacillati; Actinomycetota; Actinomycetes; Kitasatosporales; Streptomycetaceae
Description: bacterial SSU rRNA
Rfam family: Bacterial small subunit ribosomal RNA
Source: RNAcentral